CGUAGGUGGCAAGUGUUGUCCGGAUUUAUUGGGUUUAAAGGGUGCGUAGGCGGUCUUGUAAGUCAGUGGUGAAAUACGGCAGCUUAACUGUCGAGGUGCCAUUGAUACUGCAGGACUUGAGUACAGACGAGGUAGGCGGAAUUGACGGUGUAGCGGUGAAAUGCUUAGAUAUCGUCAAGAACACCGAUAGCGAAGGCAGCUUACUAGACUGUAACUGACGCUGAUGCACGAAAGUGUGGGGAUCAAACAGGAUUAGAUACCCUGGUAGUCCACACUGUAAACGAUGAUUACUCGAUGUUGGCGAUACACAGCCAGCGUCUUAGCGAAAGCGAUAAGUAAUCCACCUGGGGAGUACGCCGGCAACGGUG
Molecule: ribosomal RNA, 368 nt
Filed under: uncultured organism
Description: bacterial SSU rRNA
Rfam family: Bacterial small subunit ribosomal RNA
Source: RNAcentral